This 253-nucleotide ribosomal RNA is filed under the name uncultured bacterium. Its description in RNAcentral is "partial 16S ribosomal RNA". It matches the Rfam family "Bacterial small subunit ribosomal RNA", at positions 524 to 776 of the family's 1533-position model. The record is from RNAcentral.
GACAGAGGUGCCGAGCGUUAGGCGGAAUCACUGGGCUUAAAGCGUGUGUAGGCGGACCGUUAAGUGUCUUGUGAAAUCCCCCGGCUCAACCGGGGAAUUGCUGGGCAUACUGGCGGUCUUGAGCAGUCUAGGGGCAGAUGGAACAAGUGGUGGAGCGGUGAAAUGCGUAGAUAUCACUUGGAACGCCAAAGGUGAAAACAGUCUGCUGGGGAUCUGCUGACGCUGAGACACGAAAGCCAGGGGAGCGAACGGG